AUUGAACGCUGGCGGCAGGCCUAACACAUGCAAGUCGAGCGGGGGUAGCAAUACCCUAGCGGCGAACGGGUGAGGAAUGCUUGGGAAUCUGCCUGGUAGUGGGGGAUAACGUUCCGAAAGGAACGCUAAUACCGCAUACGUCCUACGGGAGAAAGGGGGGGAUCUUCGGGACCUCUCGCUAUCAGAUGAGCCCAAGCCGGAUUAGCUAGUUGGUGGGGUAAAGGCCCACCAAGGCGACGAUCCGUAGCUGGUCUGAGAGGAUGAUCAGCCACACUGGAACUGAGACACGGUCCAGACUCCUACGGGAGGCAGCAGUGGGAAUAUUGGACAAUGGGCGAAAGCCUGAUCCAGCCAUGCCGCGUGUGUGAAGAAGGCC
This 376-nucleotide ribosomal RNA is filed under the name uncultured bacterium. RNAcentral describes it as "bacterial SSU rRNA". It matches the Rfam family "Bacterial small subunit ribosomal RNA", at positions 30 to 416 of the family's 1533-position model. The record is from RNAcentral.